RNAcentral lists this ribosomal RNA (479 nucleotides) under uncultured bacterium. RNAcentral's name for it is "bacterial SSU rRNA". It matches the Rfam family "Bacterial small subunit ribosomal RNA", at positions 791 to 1268 of the family's 1533-position model. The record is from RNAcentral.
UAGUCCACGCCGUAAACGAUGGAUACUAGCUGUCCGGGCCCUUGAGGUCUGGGCGGCCAAGCGAAAGUGAUAAGUAUCCCACCUGGGGAGUACGUUCGCAAGAAUGAAACUCAAAGGAAUUGACGGGGGCCCGCACAAGCGGUGGAGCAUGUGGUUUAAUUCGAUGAUACGCGAGGAACCUUACCAGGGCUUAAAUGCAUAUUGACAGGGUCAGAGAUGACUUUUCCUUCGGGCAAUUUGCAAGGUGCUGCAUGGUUGUCGUCAGCUCGUGCCGUGAGGUGUCAGGUUAAGUCCUAUAACGAGCGCAACCCCUACCGUUAGUUGCCAGCAUGUCAUGAUGGGGACUCUAACGGGACUGCCGGUGCAAACCGCGAGGAGGUGGGGACGACGUCAAAUCAUCACGGGCCCUUACGUCCUGGGGCCACACACGUGCUACAAUGGGUCGGUACAGAGGGGCAGCCACUACACGAGUAGGGCGC